UACAGAGGUCCCAAGCGUUGUUCGGAUUCACUGGACGUAAAGGGUGCGUAGGUGGUCGGGUAAGUCCGAUGUGAAAUCUCCAGGCUCAACCUGGAAAUGGCAUUGGAUACUAUUCGGCUUGAGGAGUGGAGGGGGGACUGGAAUUCCCAGUGUAGAGGUGAAAUUCGUAGAUAUUGGGAAGAACACCGGUGGCGAAGGCGGCUCACUGGCUCAUUACUGACGCUCAGGCGCGAUAGCGUGGGGAUCAAACAGG
RNAcentral lists this ribosomal RNA (253 nucleotides) under uncultured bacterium. RNAcentral's name for it is "partial 16S ribosomal RNA". It matches the Rfam family "Bacterial small subunit ribosomal RNA", at positions 524 to 776 of the family's 1533-position model. The record is from RNAcentral.